UUUUUUUUUUUGCCUCCAUCCCUUAUACCUAAAUGGGAAGGAAAUAAAAAGUAGGCCUUCUGGAUCAUUUACGUCCUCCGUUCAGGAAAAUAAGUUAUUCUAAAAUCUAAAAAAUACAAGUUAUUGCUAUCGGAUUUAAUAUGUAGUAUACGUGGCGGCGGUAUUCUAUUCGAGGACGAUGCUUCAGGGCCUGUUUGGCUCCAACCUGUUGAAGUUUAACACCCGUCACAUCGGAUGUUUGAAUGCUAAUUAGAAGUAUUAAAUAUAGACUAAUUACAAAACUAAUUGUACAGUUGGAGUGUAAUUCGCGAGACGAAUCUAUUAAGCCUAAGUAAUCCAUGAUUUGACAAUGUGGUGCUACAGUAACCAUUUGCUAAUGGUGAAUUAAUUAGGCUUAAUAGAUUCGUCUCGCGAAUUAGCACAGGAUUCUGCAAUCAAUUUUAUAAUUAGUUAAUAUUCAGUUCUCCUAAUUAGCAUCCGAACAUCCGAUGUGACACUGUUAAAAUUUAGCACCUCGUAUCCAAACACGCCGUCACAAGAAAACCAAGAAAACAACGAAACGCCUGGCGGGUCCACACACCACUGACCACAGGGGCACUGGUCUGACUUUGACCCACAACCACAAGUCGGCUCGACGCGGACAACGAGCGCGCGUGGCGAAAAAAAAUCCCGCGCCCGCAACCCACGACCCCACGCGCCGCGAGCGGGAAACGCGAAACCCACUUCCCCUUUCCUAGCCGCCCUCUUCCGUUUCCCCCCUUUUCCAUUCCGCCCAAUCCAUCGCCGCUCGCCGCAGCGUCACUGCGUCAGGUUAACCGAAACGCGCCGCGCCCGCCUCCGUUUCAAACCCGAAAUUUUUCGCCGUCCCCCCCCAAAUUUUUUCCCUCGCUUCUGCCUCCGCGCAACCCAACAAAUCGCCUUCCUUCCCCUCCGCCUGAUUAGUCUCGCCAAUUCCCCCCUCAACCGAACCAACCUUCCUCUUCCCCCGAAUCUCAGGUCUCCCGCCCGCACCCACCGGCCGGCCACCUACCCCGCCGGCGCGAAACCCUAAUCGGCGGCCGCCUCCCUCUCCAUCCCAUGGCGGAGCAGGACGGCGCCGCGGGACAGAGCCCGCUCGACUCCCCUCCGGUGAGAUUCGCUGACUUUUGCUUGGGUUGGUCUGGGGACUGGGGUUGCGAAGUUUCUAGGUCCCGCCGGAAGCAGUAGCUUGCGAGGUACGCUUGGGGUUGGGGACUUGCCCCAACUCCGGGAGUGGUUUCUGUGGGGCGGUUCACUACUUCACUUGAUGUGUGGUGCUUGCGUCAGGGCUUUGGCGUUUUGGGUAGUUUUUCGUCUGGGUUAUUGCGGUUGGUUUGGCUCGAGUCUCGUUAAUUUGGGGGCACGAAGAGUUCGUGCGGGUGGGUACCCAGAUUUUGGUUAAUUCGGGCAUUCGGCACCGGCGUCCCCCGUUGUCACUGGCUACGGCAGUGAUCGCUAUUACCAGCUCUAAUAUAGAAAUGUCCGUGAUGUAGUGAUCGUGUCCUUUGCUCAAAUCGUUAUGGACUUUCAAUGCAACGUUCUACCAUGUUCAAACGAAAUUAAAUCGGAUAAUUCCGAGCUGCCUUUGUCCUAACCUUCCGUUUUUCUCUAUUUGCACUUAACUGGCAGUAGCUGUCAUAGAAGGUAAUACAGUACUCUAUAGUUUUUGUGUCAUGAUGAAAAUAUGGAUCUAACUGUAAGGAUCCCUUCUAUUAGGGGGUCAGUGCUGAAAAUGGGGAUGAGAAUACUGAGCAGCAUCAACCAUUUUUCUCCAUGUGCCAGCCAAUUCGCUCUGUUGUAAGCUCCUAACUCAUGCUCCUGUCCAAAUUUGUAGUGUCAAUGUGUUAUUAUGCUCAAGUUUAUAAUUUGUCUCUAUGUGUUCCUGUUUCUGCUUACAGAGCUACGCAAAUUCGUGGGAAAGCUGUUUUGCUCCUGCUGCAAAUGAAAAUGACCACAAUGUGAGCUCCUAACUCGAGAUUUAUGUGAUCUUUUGGUAUCUUAUAUAGCUUGUAAUCAGUUCGUGACUCCUACUCUCUGAUACAGAGUGGCUUGAACUCAAUGGUGAAUGACCACAUCCUGAUUACAUCUGCUUCUCUUGGAAGCAAGCAACCUCAACCUGAGGUGCGUCCUUUCUCCCAGCCCUUAUUUAAGAACUUGAUGGCUCCUGUGAAUUUGUUUGGGCUCAUCUGUAGUAAUAUCUGCUUACUAGUUCACGGAUGUGUUGUUUUAGGACAUAUCUGGUACAGUAGAUGAUGAAGGCAAGCCUUGUUCACCACAUUCAAUCGAUAAGGAAGCCAGUUUGGUGCAAGAUGUCAUGGAAAUGGAACAAUCAAUGGUAUGAAGUGUUUGCCUUGCCAUUUAUUUUUUCUGCAAUCAGCCCAAGAAACUGCAUUUACUUCAUAUACCUGUUUUUUCUCUUAGUUUUUUUUUUAAAAUUGUGACAAUCCUCACUCAGACACCAGAUGUUUGGAAUUGCAUAGCAUGAAGCAAAACUAAGCCUGCCUGUUAUGCUAAAUCAUGUUCUCUUCGAGAGGGAACUUGGUUUAAUUUUUUAUAAAAUUUGUAACUUAAAUGUAUGGAUACAAUUCAUAUUAUGGGCAGCUGAUCUGCAAUUGUAAUUCCAUAUAUGUGAUCUCUUUAGCAAUCCAUGUUCCUGAAUCAUCUCUAGAUCACUGCAAACUUGUUUGGGACAAAAAGGCUUUAUUGCUGUAUAUAACAUUAAUGGCGAGUUCUGUGCCUAGAUGAUCCCUAAUUCUUGUUUCUAUAUUGUAGGAUGAAAUUGAUGUGCCACAUGGAGAAGCAAGUGAGCAGCCAGAACCCCUUAGCACAGAGCAACCCGAUUCAACCGUAAGUUCCACCUUCUGAUAUGGCCUGCUAACUCAGGCCUUUAAUGUGUAUGCGGCCCAAUUUUGUUAUAUUGACGUAUAUACUUAUACAAGUAUUCUCAGGGAACUGCAAUUAUUUCAUAUAUAAACAUUGAUCUCUUUGUGUGUCAUGCGCGCAUGACUGCAUACACAAUUACACAUGCAUAAGUUAUUUGGCUUAGGCCUCUUAAGUUUCCUAAUAUUAUUUUUGGGUGGUGCUGCAGGGUGGAAUGGAUUUAUGGGAUGACAAAGAUAAUCAGAAACUGUUGCCCCUUAACACUGAUCGGUGGAACUCCAGUGUAAGACUGUUAUUGUCUUAAUCACAUUGUAUGUGCAAUUUUUAUUUGGUCCUUCCUUACAUCAACUCAUUGUAUUGAUGGGCUUUGUUCAAUAGAUUGGUGAAACUUGUGAUGCUGAAGAUAAGCAGUUUCCUCUGUCCUUUUCUUACAGAAGGCAACCCCAAUCUGUGGUAAUCUUCUGCACUAAGUUCUAUACAUAGUUGGCAUCCUGAAGGACAUUGUUUUUCAUUACAUCACAAAGUUUUCCCAUGUACAGGGAGCAGGUCUUAGCAAUAUGGGGAACACAUGCUUCUUAAAUGCAACUCUUCAGUGCAUCACUCAUACUGUACCACUUUUUCUCAAGCUUCGCUCAACUGAUCAUUCCACUCCAUGCUCAUGUAUGGAUAAUUUCAUACAACUUUUUAUUAUUGUUUAAAAAAUGUUUUCAGAUUUUCUAUUCCAUUUUAGUUUGCAUGAUUUGGACUCCUGGUACCCUGCAGAUGAUAAAGAUGGAUUCUGUUCUUUCUGUGCCCUUAAAGAACAUGUCGAUGAAUCAAUUCGAAGGUCUGGAUCUGUUAUAAUGCCCGCAAAGUUCAGAGAUAAUUUAAGAAGUAUCCUUUCCUCUUGAACUUUUGCCUAGUCUGUUUAAUUCUCCCCAUUACAGCUGCUGUUUGCAUAUAUGUUUUUCAUUAGUUCACAUUCUUAUGCUUCCUUUCACCAUUCAGUUUAUCUUACUCUUCAUUUAAAUAAUGUGCUGAGCUAGUGGAUACUUUUCAACUGUUGCCAGCUUGCUAUAGUCCUUCCAUGUCAAGUUGUGUCAUAUGUGGUUCCUUAACAAUAUUUUCCAGAGCUAUCUUCAGAUUUUAGACCGGGACAGCAAGAGGAUGCCCAUGAAUUCCUACGUUGCUUGCUUGAUAACUUGCAUAAGUGUACCCUUGAUCCCAUGUCUAAGGGCAAGGGCUCAUCCUUUGAUGAAGAAAGUAUAGUCAAGGACAUUUUCGGAGGCCAACUGAAAAGCCAGGUAAUUUAGUUUUUUAUCACCUAUUUGUUCUCUUGUCACUUGCAUCACAACUAAUGCUACUCUGUGUGUCUAGUUGUCUUGCUGCGAGUGUGGUCACAGCUCGGAGACAUUUGAGCCCUUCCUGGAUCUAAGCUUGGAGAUCGAUCAGGUUGAUCACCUGGUAGAUGCCAUGGAAUCUUUUACCAAGGUAGAGCAGAUCGGGGACUCUGAAGAUAAGCUCACCUGUGAACGAUGCAACGCUCAAGUUUGUAAGAACAAGCAGCUUACACUUCAUAGAGCACCAGAUGUUAUUGCAUUUCAUCUGAAGCGUUUUACCACCCUUGACAAUUCUGUUGAGAAGAUUGACAAACAUGUGGUAUACCCUUCAGAGGUUGAUUUGAAGCCGUUCCAUAGUAACCCAGACACUGUGGUGAGCUUUUCUUUCUAUACUGUGCCUGUUUGGAAGAUGUAAGCUGUUCUAGGAAUUUCUAGACUAAGGAUUUGAAUCCCAGUCCAUCUGUUCAAACAUAGUCGAUAGUUUUGCCACUUAGGUAAAAUUAAUUUUUUGUUAUACUUCCAAAUGCAGGGGGAGCUGAAAUAUGAUCUUUAUGGUGUUGUUGAGCAUUCUGGGUUACCCAACUAUGGCCACUAUGUGUGCAGUAUUCGUUCUUCACCAAGCACUUGGUACUUGAUGAAUGACUCCCAUGUAUGUGCCACAAAUCCUUUUUUGUUUUGUUACCACAAGUCAGUUGCUACUGCUUUGUUGACAUGAACCUUUUCUCCAUUUUAAUAUGCCAGUUAUUUUGCAGGUUGAUUCGAUUACAGAUGCAAGCGCGUUAAACAAGGAAGCAUAUAUUCUCUUCUAUGUUCGGCAGGGCAAAUUUCCAUGGUUCUCUAGUUUGCUAGAGGUCAAAGAUGCCCUACAUGCUGAGGAUGCUCGCGGUGCAUCUCCUGUGUCUGUUUUGGAAAAUAUUGAUGCAAACUGUUCAACGUCUUCUGGAGGAGGCAGUAGCAGUAAUUCUGGUGAUAAAUUAGAGAAAAAUGAAGCCAGGCAGUUGGAGGAGUUAGAGAAGGAUGAAACCAGUCAAUACAAAGUAUCAUUCUGUCAUGAGGAGCCAUCUAAGAGAAGUUCACUUGGUGCUUCCAACAUCAAUAAUACAAGAGAUGAAAUCAGUCCACCCAGAGCAUCUCUCCAAGAUGAUGUUGUUAGAUGUCCCCGUAGUGUAGAAACUACCAAUCUGGAUAGGCCCUCUACUCCUCUGCCCUCGAAGCGAUCAUUCUCACAUAAUGAGUUUGGUGUGUUUGAGUUUGAGGACUUUGGUAAGGAUGCAUUUUAAUUAGCUGGUAUUAAGUUCUGGUUUUAUUUUUGCAAAUCAUCUAUCUUAUUUCCCUUGAUAGAAUUCCAACCUCAAUUCAUUGUCCAGUUGACAUUAGUUUUGUCACAUUUAUUAUUCAUCGAUUAAUGAACCCCUAGACAAAGUGAUCCUAAUCACUCCACCCUUUAAUUUUAGACAUCAGACUUGCAGUGUUGUGCUAAAUAUCUUGAAUACGACUUAAUUGUUUUUCAAUGCUGUUGAUUGCCUUACAUGUCAUAAAACAUUGCUCAUUCACCUUUUUAAAGGCUCAUGUUUCUGCUUGUCUCAUUUACAGAUGAUGACGAAGACACUCCUUUGCUUCCAGAUCUGAAAUUUCACCCUAAGGCAAAGAAACCUAAGGCUGCAUCUGCAUCUAAAGCUGUGAAGGGCCCCAGUAUUGAUCAGAACGCAAGACGUUUGAUGAGUGGCAUGCCAUCCUCAAGAAGAAAAGGUCUCCUGGACUGCAUGGUCACACAACAAAAUGCACAUCAGGAGUCUCGUAGUCGCAGAUGCCCCACAAGCGACCCUAUGGACAAAAAGAAACGGAAGUUGGUUCAAUGCUAGGUAUUUUCAAGUUUGGGCACCACAAAUCUUGUAUUUCUGUAUAUCCUUUUUUGUUUUCUUUUGCUACUCUCUUGCUGUAUAUCUUGGUCUAGCAUCCAUGCUGUCCUCCACUGCCCUUUAAUCUAAUUUAGCUGUCAUAAACUUUAUGGCCGGCUAGAUUGGUUGCAGGGUACAUGAGAGCAUAAGAGUCAGUUAAUCUAUCUACUUUUUUUUUUUGCUUCCUCCUGAUGUGCCAUCGCACACCUAUCAACUAUGCUGUAUGGGAUUUGCACCUGCACCAACUGCCCAUUUUGUUUAGUAGGUAGCACUACUUGGACAGAACAGGGCUUAUCUUGUAUGGAACAUAACCAGGGAAAAGAAAUGAAAUCGAGUUUAUCUGAAAUCUUGUUCAAUUCUGUAACAUAGCAAGCAGCAAUUUUGUUAGUCGACAGUGAUGUUAAAAAAAAAACUCGACAAUGAUGUUUUCUUAACUAAUCUUCUCGUCUGCUGUCUUUGUUACUGGUCUUGUGUUUUCCCUGUGGGGGUUUCAGUUUGAUAUUGUACUCUGAAACGACAAUGUAUGCAAGUCAGGGAUAGAGAACUUUAGCUUGCAGGUGGUAUGCCAUCUAACAACCAUCGCUGUAUACUCGUGAAAAGAGGGAUAAUAUCGUAAGAGAUUUCGGAGGAAAAGAAGAUCGUCUAGUUCUGGCUAUCUGGGACACCGGACGAGGAGUUGAGGACUUGCCAAUCAUACGAUUCAAGGAUCGCAGAACGAAAAAACAGUGAGGUGUCUUGAUAGAAAAAACUUAUAUUUCACUAAUUUACUAUUGUUAUAUAGUUCUUUAAUCGGCCGAACUAUCACCGAAGGGGUGGUGGCGCAGUUGGCUAGCGCGUAGGUCUCAUAGCUAAUUGAGUUAUCCUGAGGUCGAGAGUUCGAGCCUCUCUCACCCCAUAUUUUUCCCCCUUUUCCCACCUGAUUUUUUUUAGCUAACAUCGUCUCAUCUCUGCCUGACUACCCAUAUCUGCGUUUUCCCUUCCCUAUCCACCCCGAUUUUUUUCCCUGACAAAGUCCCUUCCCAUUUUUUUUGCUGAUACCAUCUCCCCAUGUCCUCGGAGCUAAUAUAAGCUAUUCACACUUCACUCUCUUCCUCCUCACUGUCAGCACGCCGACACGCUACUCCCGCCCCAUCUCACUUGGUCUUAUGCACAGGUAAGAGCUCCGGACUACGCAUUACAUCGUGUGGAUAGUCACCAGCCGGUCAGACUCCGAAAUCGAGCGACUUCUUUCACAGGUAUAUUAGCAUGCUUGAGGUCACUGUAGUAAAAUCCAGCAUUCAUUUUUAUGCAAACAAAGCAACAUGGUUGAGAAGCUCAGAUAAGAUCUCUUUUUAGCCAAUUCAGCACCUUAAUUCUCCAGAUAAGAUCAAGACUAAGACCAAAACAAAAAAAUGGUAACAUGGAUCCUCACAACAUCAUAGGCUCAGUUCAUCUCUUGGCAUUAUACUUCCACAAUAGUUAGGGAAUAUAGAACACAACAUACAGUGACUAGCCGAACAUCCUUUCACAACACUGAACAAUCUCGCUAAUACCGCUGCAUCCGCUGGAUUUUGCUACUAAUACAGAAAAGAUAAAUUUGUUUCUACACCAAAAGGGCACUAGAGGAAAUCCUCUCCUCAAGAACCACCAGCACCACCACCUGGGCCCUCAUUAGCUGGCUUGCGGUUCAGGUAUCUUAUAACAGCAUCCUCAACCCUAUUUCAUCGUGGAACCAAAAUCACGUUGUCAGCACAUGGAUACAUGAUGUUCAAGAAAAAAAGGAGGUCAAUCGUAGGUAUUGUUAGAGCUUACCAUGGUUGGUUGUAGAAAUCUGCGCGUCUUUCCUUUUCAAUGUUCCUAUUCGCUUCGCCGGCGACCAGCUUCAAAUCUUUGCUCUGAGAAGCUAUCAGGCCGUUAAUGAACUCCACCGGGGACUGACUGAAACCCAGGAAGAAAGCCCUCCUCCUGCGGUGCUCAUGGAUCUUCUUGAUCGAGGCAGAUAUCACAUCGUCGCAGGCCUCAAUGUCCUUGUGCUUCUCAGUGUUGGCAAGGAAUGCCAUCAUCUCCUUCUGCAGCGGGAAGGGCACAUCCACCAGCACAUCAUAGCAAGCACUUGCGGAAGCUCCAUUGCCUGAUAGCUUAAUCUUGUGCUCCAAGUUGAUGGGCGGUGGGGCAGACAGAUGCUGAGAUAUCUUCUGCGACAGCAUUGCAAACUUCAGUUUAUCCUCCCCAAACACCUUCUUCAAUUGAGGGUCACACAUGAAGAAGGAAGGGUCAUUUGGGUUCUGAAGCUUCUUCGCCUUGAUGUACUGCCAGAGGGCAGCAAUCACCCGCGCGCGAGUGUCCACCUCGACCCCGAGCACCUCCAUCAGCGGCUGUGACAGCUUAAACUUCUCAGGGUUGUAGUUCAUCUCCAGCCGGAUGUUCGCAACAAACUCCUUAUCCCCUUUCCUCUUCACCUCGAAACCUUCCUGCUGGGCGGCAGAACGCGCAUUUUCCCAGAUGAUCAGUGGGUUUUCAGGGUACAGCUGUGGGUCCAGCGCAAUGGUCACCCUCUUGAAGAAUUGGGAGAACUUCGGAUACACCGGGUUGUGCUUGGGCACCACGCUGGCAGGGUCCAGCUCGGCGCCAUCCUCGAGCACGCGGCCGAUGAUCUUGAGCGACCAGGUGGGCGGGUCGGCGUUCUUGGGCGGCGGGAUGGCGCGCGGGCCCUGGUUGGCGAAGGUGUUGAAGACGUAGAUGCGGAGCGUGCGCUGGAGUGAGGGCGGCGUCUUGAGCGCCUCCUGGAUGUCCACUUUCUUCCGCGCCAGCGCCGCGUCCACGCGGGCCUCGAACUCGAGCAGCUGCGUGUAGAGCGCGGACUCCGGGAGCAGCGCGGCGACGCGGUCCGGGAGCUGCUUCUCCGGGAGCUUGCGCUUCUUGUUGCGUCGCGCGGCGGGGGUGAGGUCGACGCCUCCGGAGUUCGCCACGGCCGCCGCCGCCGCCGAAGCCUUGUACGCGGCAGCUGCCGAAGCCGCCGCGGCGGCCGAGGUAGACCCGGGACCCGGGGGCCGCACGGGGGGCUUCUGCGGGGGGCGCUUGGCCGAUUGCGCCGCCGCGGCGGCGGCGGCCGCCAUGAGCGGGGUCUGGGGCGAGGAGGCGCCCAUGUGGAUCUGGAAGGCGGGGUUGUGGGACGGCGGCGUGUGGAAGAGGCCCUGGAACGGGGAGCCGGCGAGGGAGGGUGGGCGGAGGUGGGUCAUGGGCGUCGCCGGGGAGCCGCCCGGCUGCGGCUGCUGCUGGGGAUGCGGCGGGCGCGGCUGGGGCGGGCCGCCGGUCGGGUUGGGGUUGCCGCCGGAGGCCAUGGCGGCGACGGCGGCGGCAAGCGCGAGAUCGGAUCUCGGUGGGGGUGGGGAACUGGGGAUUGGGGAAGCUAGGGUUUGGUGGCCCGUUGGCGUUGCAUAUCCGAUGGAACAGCCACCGGAUCGGUAUUGGACGGACAGGAUCUGCGCGUGAGCAUCCACAUCAGCAAAUGUUUCCAAAACCCCCUAGGGAAAGUGUAGCAUUUGAGAAGGAAGUCCUGGUCCAUAUCACAUUCACAAUCACAUCCCUAGAUUUGUUCCCCUUCACAUUCCAGAUCCCUCCCUCUUCUCUGAAAACGACGACAAUCCAAUUGUUUGCAACUCAUUGUCAAGUGCGUAAUAGCCAUACUGAGUGGUGUGCAAAUCAUUAUUAGUACAAGAUUAGACUACAUUUGCAGGGUUGCUCUAGAAUGAUGCCCUACUAUGCUAUAUCCAUUUUCUAGUUUUAGGUUCGUAGAUGUGCAAUGUCAUAACCACAAGCGCUUCUUAUUGGUGCCUUUUGGCAUGCCAUCUGUUAUAUAUUUCCUUGUGUUCUAGUACAAUAGUGUAGAUCAACAAUUGUUCUUUUUGUUAAGCUUUUACAUUCCAUUGCUAGAUGUGACUAUUUCAUAGAGUUAAGCAUGUACUAGCUUAUGUUGUGUAGUAGAUUGAUGCUAGGUUGUACUCAGCUUGAUCAAUCAAAGGGUAGCUCUGUUCUUCUUUUAUUGUCAGGUCUUGUGCUAGUGAUGUUUCUGUUUUCUCCACAUCAGAUCAGUGGGCUGUACAACCAAUGGACAGUCUUGUGCAGAGAUUUGGCUGGACAAAUUGCGGUGGGAGCGGAUGUUCCUCGACAGCGUCCACGCACAAUGUGUUUUUCAACUUGAUAUUGUACUGUGAAACUACAAUGUGUGGGGUUCAGAGAAGAAGCAAUGUCUUCCACAGUUUACUCUUGCUUACCAUUGGCCACUUGCUUGCAGAUAGCAUGCCAUCUCAACCAUUGCUGUGAAAUAAUGUAAGAGAUUUCAGAGGACAGAAGGUCUUCUAGGUUUGUCCCGCUGGGAUAAGGGAUGAGGACUCAUGCAGGUUUACCAAUGAUGGCAUGGCAGAACAGCAUAACGUCUUAAAUGAAGAGCGGUGGAUUAGCACUGAUAUGUUAAAUCAAACUAGUUUCUUCUCCAAUCGCUUUGAGAGUUAAAUUCCCGUGAAUCCACGAUUCGUAGCAAAACCGGGAACUACCCGCCGUUCAAAUCAAAUCAUUAUAUAUGCAUAAACCAUGACAAACUCAAUGGAAUACCGGCACGCUGCACGACCGACGGCGUUUGGGGAGAAGCCCCCGCGGAGGAAGAGACAAAGAGACGUUUCAACCUCUACAUCCAAGAUCGAAUCGGGGUGGUGCUUGCCACGACGCCACGACGGGGGACCUGGUGAGGCUGACGCCCUACAGCAAGUUCACGGUGUUGUUCAACUAUGUGGAGCGGCUGAGCCUGAACAUGGCGAAGAUGAGAGUUCACAGGUGGGAGGAGUACCGGGGGUGUCCGGAGACCGUGCAUGGCUACCUAAUCAAGUAUCGACCACAAUUUAUUCCUUCUCUCUAUUCCUUCUCUCAUGGCAGUUCACCAGCGAAAAGGUAAGUAAAUAUCUUUAGCAAGAGGUCUAACAAAAAUAUCAGCCUCAAUUUAGUUGUUUAUGUAGAUGAGAUCUAUUUUAUUUUUAACUAAUUUCAACAUACAACAUGUAUAUGCAUUAUUUUGCGUAAUUAAUGAACUAAUCUCUCAUGAACGAAAGUUGCAUUAUGCGCUCAAAGUCAAAGCUCUCGUCUCUCAGCUUUGGCGCCAAAGCUUCCAAGAGUUUGAGUAUUUUCAUUUCGAUUAUAAUUUUAUCAAAUUUGGUAUAUUUUUUCUCCUUCGUGGAGAACAUUAGCGGGAUCUCUAUUUAGAAGUUUAGAUAGAUAUCAUGAGUGAGAUUAGAGGUCUCAAAAUAAAUUUUCACAAAAGUGAGAUUUUCUACUUUGGACAAGCAAAAGAACAUGAGGCCUUGUAUUUGCAGCUUUUUGUUGUAAAUUAGGCUCUUAUCCUUUUCGCUAUCUAGGCAUACCAAUUCAUUUUAGAAAGUUAUGUAACAAGGACUAGAAAUUAGUCGGAGAGAGAUUUGAGAAAAGACUAUGUGGUUGGAAAGGUAAAAUGUUAUCUGUUGGUAGAAGAUUAGUGCUGAUUAUUCAGUUCUAUCUAGUUUACCAAUGUUCAUGUUAUAUUCCUUUGAGGUUUCAAGGGGAGUCCUUAAAAGAUAGAUUAUUUUUGAUAUAGGUUUUAUUGGCAGUAUGAUCAGCAUAAGAAAAAAAUAUAGACUAGCAAAGUGGGAAGUCUUAUGCCAACUAAAGAACCAAGGAGGUCUAGGGAUUUUGAACCUAGAUAUCCAGAAUAAAUUCUUGUUAAGUAAUGGCUUUUCAAGUUGUGUAAUGAGGAUUGAAUUCGGUAGGAACUUUUAAGGAGCAAACACCUUAAAGGCAAGGCAUUAGGCCAAGUAUAUAAGAAACCCGAGGAUUUAAAAGUGCAUCUUGGCCCCCCUAAAUGGGUUUUUGUGUUGAUGACAUGGAUAAUUAAGGAACUAAUGAUUUUAUUGAGAAAUUGAUAGGCUCAAAGUAAAAGAAAUAAAAAGAUGCAAGAAAGUACCCUGAAUUUGUUGAAGAACAGUGUUGGAGCUUAAGAGAAGAUUGUUUAUCAUUUUCUAAUUUUGAAUUUGAGUAUAAUAACACUAUACUAUAAAGGAGGAUACGGCCUGUUGACUUGAAAAUAUCAAAGUGCUCAUUCGAGACACUAACCACCUAUGAGAGACACCUUAAUCACACACAUGCACAUGUAGUUUCUCAUAGAUUUUGCAUUUAUCCAAAGUUCUGACUGGUUGUCGGAAGUUUCGACAUGUGCUGGAAGUUCCCAGUAACUUCCGACUGGGGGUGCUAAGUGAAUUUAUUUGAACAGGUCUAAAGUUCCGACUCGGUGUCAGAAGUUCCGACAAUCAAUUAAUAGCACAACAAUGGCUAGUUUUUGAGGCUCAGGUAUUUAUACCCCCUCAGCACCCCUUCAUUUGUUGCUGACCCAACUCGAGACAAAUACCUCCAAGAGCAUUCAAUACUCCUCCCCACUUCCUCCUUGAGCUAAAUCUUUAAGAGUUUUGAGCUAGGGUUUGGGUGAGAGAAGGAUUUGAGGUGUGUGACUUUAGCUUUGAGUGUGAGGUCAACCAAGUUCAUCUCAAGAGCACUUGAAGCAUCUUCAGUUUUCGAUUCGCGUUUGUUACUCAUGAAGUUUGCUUCUAGAUGGUUCAACUGCCCAUUUGAGCGCCUUCUUAUUGUGGUGCGCCCAGAAAGUUUGUAUUGCCCAUCCUUUUGCAGGAUUCGUACUAAGUGACUCAAUCCUCCUUUGUGAUUGAUUGAGAGAGGUAAAGGGUUAGUGAGGAUCUAGCUCUUUGUGAGCUCCUCAACGGAGACGUAGCUUCCUUUGUAUGAGUGAAUUUCGGUAAACAAAUCAUUUGUCUCGUGUGCUUGUUGUGUUCUUCAAAUUCUUGUUGACCUAGAGCUUGAUUUGUGCCGAUAUAUAUUCUUGUGAAGUUUCUAUCAUAAAGAUUACCUGCAGUAGUCUCUAUAGUUCAUUGCUGAAAUCUUGAUUCAAAUAGAUUCUGCUAAAACCUAUUUAAAUUUUUAUUUCGUAGAGUACUUUUUACUCUAUCGGAAGGUCCGCUCCUGUACCGGAAGUUCCGGCACAGUGUCGGAAGUUCCGAUCCAUUUAACUCUGCUGCGAAGAAUUUUCAGGUUUUAAAGAUUGAGCCUAUUCACCCCCCUCUAGGCAUCACACGAUCCUUUUCAGGAUUCAUAAUUUUGGAUGCGUUUAAUGGGUGCGAAGGAAGAUUUUUUGUAGCUGGGAUGAUUUAAAGUGAAUUCAGGAAAUCAUACUAGAUUUUGGGAAGAUGUUUGGAUGGGGAACCAAACUUUGAAAGAUAAGUAUCCUCAUUUAUACAAUAUCGUAUGGAAGAAACUAGUCACAGUUGCAUAUGUUUUUAGUACUACUCCUCUAAAUAUCUCUUUUAGGAGAUUUCUGGCGGGGGUUAAGCUAAUAGAUUGGUACAACUUAGUGGCUACAAUAUUAAAUUUCAACCUUCCGGGGGAAGCGAUGUGUUCAUAUGGGCACUUAGUAAGAAAAAUAAUUUUAGUGUUCAUUCAAUGUACAAAUUUUAGUGUUCAUUCAAUGUACAAACAUCUCAUCAGUAACUCAUCAGUAAUGGUGUUAGAGUCACACAAGAGAUGGCAAAUGAAAAUACCAUUAAAGUUCAAGAUCUUUAUGUGGUAUAUAAAGAAAGAAUAAUCUUAAUAAAGGAUAAUUUAGCCUAGGAAAAUUGGAAUGGUAACAAAUAAUGCAGUUUUUUUUAGUUGUGUGGAAACCAUUAUGCUAAAUUCCUUUGGCAGGCUCUACACAUAUUAUUUGGAAUUGCUCCACCAACCAGUACUGAUCUUUUUAAUCUACUAUAUUGAGGGGCCACAACGCUUUGUUGGGCUAUUUGGAAUACAUGGAAUGAAGUGCCAACCGAAAACUUUUUUGCACGUACUGUUUAGGGGGACAUACUAGUUUAGGUUUUGGGUCAAGUUGCAGCGAAGUGAGAAUGAUCAGGAGGCUCUAAUCAUAGCAUGUCAUUCGCUGGAGAUGGCUACCUUGUGUUUCUUCACUUUGAAUGGAUGGUCCUUUAAUUUAUGGAUUAGUGUUUAAAAUUUGGUUUGCUUACGGAUGAUUCAUUUGAGUGUAGCUUUUAUGCUAUUACUUGUAAUAAUUAAGAUGUGAUACCUCUUCAUGUAAGAGAGUGAAGUCGGAUGCCUUUUCCAUUAUGAAAAAGAGAUAGAUAUUCAUGAAAAAGGAGAUUUCGAGACUCUCAGAGUUGCGUAAAAUAUACUUCUAAAAGGAAACCAUACAAUGAUAUGUGGUCCUUGUGCCUACUCGAGAUUUUGUAAAAAAGAAAAACAAAACCUGCACCUCCUCUGUCAUAGUUUGGCCACUGGCCCUAGGCAGCUUGGUUGGGUUCGUGGAAUGUGGCCAUUGUGGCUCUUAAAUCUGUACAAUCCUUGGCAUCACUAAGGUUAGUUGAGCUUACACCUUGGUCACCACCUGGUGCUCAAAGGAACUGGUGAAAUGUCGUGUGCCAAAUUUGCAUUGUCUGUAGUACUGAUCCCAGAAGGAAGGCAGCGGGAGUGUAGUGGCGUCUGUAAGCUGUAUGCCCAAGGGAUUGGUUUCGUAAUGAAGUGUUUUAGUGCUCAUUGCCUCGAAAUGCCAACAGUUAAUCGUGCUUGAAGCUGCUGCAUCUUCUUUGACGGAGUGUCAAUUAGUAGAGUGGUGAUAUUUUCUACUCAGCUCCCACUUCUUUUGUUACUGCAGCAGAACUAUAUAUGUUAAUGGGUUGUUCGGUUACAGAGUUAAGGCUGAUUUUGCAUUUCAGCCUGUACAGCAGCAAGCAAUGCAUUGCUACAUAAGACGAAACUAUUAGAAGAAGCUACUCAUUUUGACAUAGUACAGUAUUUUGCUUGACAACAACAGGACCUCGGUGACAGUGAAGGAGUUGGCCAAGCAGUUGGUGAGUAUUUGUUUGCUCAAGACUUAAAUUCUUGGCUGCAUACUUACUGUGCUGAGUUGAACCAUGGCAAUGAUCUAGUUGAGCUACCAGUACUGAACGAUUUCAAUUCACCAAUCUGUUGUGCUAAUAUUGAACGGACUGAGAUUAGAUAUUCACCGACCAUGGCAUGGGUGGAAAUAUUCAGAACAUGAACUAAUCCCCUCCUCUCUACUGAACCUCUUCCUCCUCUAGAUUAUCUUCUACGAAAAGUCGAAACCACGUGAGAAACCUGAGGCCCUCCGCGUCCCUCCCAGACGGCGCCGAGGGCGACUACCACCGCCAGCCAAAAAAGCCUCGCCUCGACUCCUGUUGCUCGUUGUUCCCCCUUCCAACUACCUCUGUUUCUCCCUCUCGUUUCUUCCUUGAGGCUAGCGAUGGACCAAACCAAGGGGCUAGCCACUGGACAUAGCUGCUCCUCCCCGUGCAAAGGACACAUCCGGCCUGAAGGGGCUUUCUAGAGGCCUGAUCUAGUGCCGAAGCACAUGGAUCCAAUGCGGGCACGCAGUGACCGGGCACCAUAGGCUGAGGUCGGCGCGCACCUCAGGUGGGCAACGCCCCGAGCAGCGAGGGGUAAGCCGACCGCGGCCUUUGGAGGACUAGUAGUUUGCGGACUAAGCUGAUGCCGGUCGGCAUCGUGUUGUGGCUUCCGUUGUGCUCGAUGCAGGUGGAUCCACCAGUGCUCCUUACCGUGCAUUGCCUGGACAUAGGAUUGGGCUGGGGUGGCGUGUGGUGGCGGCGGCCGAUGAGGCUGCUGUCUACAUAUGUGUGCCAAUGGUGUGAGUCGCCGGUGAAAGCCUGGUUUCCUACCUGCAACAACGACGACGCUUGCGGGCGCUGUUCUCCUCCAUGGAGGUGUUGUCUUGUGACUCCUAUACCAUCUCCACCGUCGGUACCGUUCACAGAUGUGGCGGAGGCUGUUGUGCAGCGAAAGCUUCGCGCCCGAAGCAGGAGGGUAUCUCACCUUUGCACAAUAAGUUGUGAUCCUCGGCUGCUCGGUGCCGCCUAUCUUCUUCAUCUCUUCAUUGUCGGUAUACUUCUUGCACUUGUUGACAUUGGUUGUUGGCUAUCGUUCUGGUUCGGUGAGUGUCCCCCAUUUGGCUCCUCUACUCCGUCGAUACUCUUCUGUUGAUGGUGCCAUCAAAUUUUAUACCGGGUGGUGUUUCCACCUCUUCCACCAUUCCCCUUCGAGGCUUCCUCCCCUCAAAUAGCGUUGGAUGAUGGUAUGUGAAGCUCGGAUGUCCUUCUAAAGGUGUUACCAUUAGCUUCAAGGAAGAUCGUCGUGUCCGGUAGGCUCUGGUUUGUGCACUUCUCGCCACCUUUAGUCCCCCUUCGUUGAUGGUCCCUCAGAUGGAGGGCAACAACGAAGCGACGCAGCUACGAGGGGUGGUGUGGUCGUGCAAUGGUCAGGGAGUAUUGGCGAGUAUGUUGUUCAAUGGUGGCUCUAAUCGGCGAACGGUGGUUGUUUUUCGGCUUGUGUCAUGACUUGUGUCUAAAUUAUAUACGUGUUGUAUUUCUCUUUCUUUGUGGCAUCUAGUUGUACACUUAUUUUGUUGCUGAAGAUCUUAUACUGUUUUGAUUUGCUCAAGACCCUUUAAAUGAAAUUCAGGUGGCAUUCUCUCCCCCGGUGACCGUAAAAAAAAAAGAGAUUGUCUUCUACUUCUGAUGUAUCUCUGAUCCCAGCAUCACUUGCUUUGCUGCUCUAUCCCGAACUCCAUCUCUCUCAAUCCGUAUCCUCGUUUGUCUGUAUCGUGGAUUGGAUUGGAUUUGCAGUAGCACUUGAUGCUGUUGAGUUGAUCUGGCAUCAAUCGGAGAGUUGCUAACAUGUAUCUUGAUCAGCCCUUUUUCUUUGUUUUUGUUGCUGUUGACAUCUUAUUUGCCCUCAUCAUCACCCAACUGAUGUAGCCGUGCCACACGAUUUUCACGCAUCCCAUGCUCGGCGAGCAUCUUGGAUCCGUUCACACUUCACUCUCCCUUUUCCUUUGUCGGUAUCAGCAUCACGACACGCUACUCCUCCUCCCGGCCCAUCCUUUUUUAAUCAAACCUGGCUUUAUUAGGAAGCUUAACAAGGAUACAAAUGAUCAAGAUGCUGGGUUGCCAGCUUAAGCACUCCCUCUGCUCACGGUACUAACAAGCUUGAGCUAACUCUACUAAUUGAUUUUCACAAAACUCUACUAACCAGUUUGCCGUGGCUGCGACCCCGCCAGCACCUACCGAAACCCCACACAACGUAGGUGCGUCUCCGGCGGAGUAGACGGAAGCUCGAUGACCAAAGCUUGCAGCUCCCGCUCCGCGAGCCGCCUCGCCCGCGCGGCAGCCGCCGCAGGCCACCGCCCCUGUGCGGCCGUUGCCGACACCGCCGCAGGCCAUCGCCUGCGCGCGGUCGCUGUGGACCGCCGCCGACGUCGCAGGCAACCUCGCCCCCGUGCUGCUGCUGCAGGCCACACGCCCGCGCGUGGCCUUCGCCGCCGCGGGCAACUCGCCCUUGCCCAACUCAGCCCAAAUCCGGGCUAGAGCAGCCCGAAUCGGAGGAUUCCGCCACCGCCGCGCCCUCCUAGCUCCCGCACGGGCAUCCGGUGGGCCAGCUCCGACGACAUCGAGAUGGGAGGGGGAAGGAGAAGGGGUGGCAGCGCUAGGGUUUCCGAUGGGGAACGAUGGCUUGGGGGAGAGGGAGGGAAGAUGCGCGGGAGGAGGCCUCGCCGCCACCGUCCUUGCGCCCGCGUGGGCUUCCGGCGGUGCGCUCCGGUGGCGGCGAGAUGGAGGAACGGGGGCGGAGGAGCUGAGGGGCGCGCGGCGGUGGUCCACCUGGGUCGCCCUGUGGGGAUGACGCGCUCGAAAGGGAGGGAAGGACGAACCUGAAUCAAGAGCUGAGCUAGCCCCGGGGGUGCAACACCACCGACGGAGCCGGGCUCAGCGAGCCAUGGGAUACCGGACUCCUCGUCAUCGCGCGCCCGGACUACGCAUCACAUCGCGCGGACGGUCUCGGGGCCUCCACUCUCCAGCCGGUGGGACUCCAAAAUCAUGCGACUCUCAUGACUCCGACCCAUACCCCGGCACGACUACAAGCAGCACUGCAGCAGUGUUCCGAUUGGGCUGUGACCUCUGGCCUGUACUCCAUACGAGCAUAGCGCAAUGAUCACUUGAUCAGUGAUCGGCGUGGGGAGUGCCCACUGGGGGAGAGGAGAUCGCGUUGUUUGAUCGGUCAGUGGCAUCGAUCGGGUCCGGGCUGUAGCAGCAGCACGCAGCCUCCAAAUAAUUCCCCAUGGGCCGCCGCUGGCCUCUGGCCGUGGCCUUUUCGUGCCAACUAGAUCCAGUUCACGUGCCGGGAGAGAACGAGAGGAUCCCGCCGGUGCCGGCGACUGUUUGGGUCGCGGAUACGAGAGAUCUGGAGGCUUUUCUUUUUCUCUUUACGAGGACAACAAAAGAUGGAGGCGGACGAAUUGGCCGCUCGAUGCCCUCAUGGAGUGGAUCCUGUUGAUCCGGAGAGGAAUAUUGUGCUAUGUCCCAGUAGGGCCCGCUGCUGUAAUCAGUGACCCUAAUUCUGGAGCUGCGAUUAGUGGUAGGUUUGUACUGACGCGCGUGUACAAAUUUGUUCCCGUGCUUCGGUUUCUCCGCAUGCUUUAGUUUGGUUUGUUGUGCGUAAGAGUUUUGUAGCCGCGUGAUUUCGUGUUUAGUGAAUUGACAGGCACGUUUUGUAGAAUACUGUAUUUUUAUGUGUACAAUAAUUAA
RNAcentral lists this long non-coding RNA (18783 nucleotides) under Setaria viridis. RNAcentral describes it as "long non-coding RNA (SVIR_LNC001069)". The stretch from base 6925 to 7010 matches the Rfam family "tRNA". The record is from RNAcentral. Lineage: Eukaryota; Viridiplantae; Streptophyta; Magnoliopsida; Poales; Poaceae.